RNAcentral lists this long non-coding RNA (275 nucleotides) under Nicotiana benthamiana. RNAcentral's name for it is "long non-coding RNA (NBEN_LNC039296)". The record is from RNAcentral. Lineage: Eukaryota; Viridiplantae; Streptophyta; Magnoliopsida; Solanales; Solanaceae.
CAUAACCUUUGCAAAGCAUGAAACUAACACAUGAACAGAUAAAUAUAUGAAAUUAAUUGCAGAAAUAAGAAGAUGGCAGUGAAGAAAUAGUCAUACCUGACACUAGAACGGGGAGGUGAAAUAGAAUCAGCAGCUCUCUUGGUGCCACAGGAAGCAUUAUUAUUAUUAUUUAGAACGGGGAGGUGAAAUAGGAUCAGCAGCUCUCUUGGUGCCACAGGAAGCAUUAUUAUUAUUAUUAAUUUUAGUAGCUGAAGAAGAGGAAGAUGAAGAAAAUG